Long non-coding RNA from Pantherophis guttatus, 277 nucleotides. RefSeq lists it as uncharacterized. NCBI's taxonomy places the organism in Eukaryota, Metazoa, Chordata, Lepidosauria, Squamata, Colubridae. The record is from RefSeq and is a predicted model, not a curated record.
UAAUCCCUGGCACAAAAUUGGCUGGUAUGCAGUGCCCAGUCUCUGCUAGGAGAUUUUGUCCAUCCUCAAUUCAAAAGCCAAUCCCCACCCUCCUGUCCUUACUUUCCAUCCCUCCAAAGCAGCAACAGCGGAAACCCACAGCUGGAAACAUCUGGAAAAGAUGGCUCAGACUACAACUCCCAUUCUGCCAAGAACAUGGAAAUGGUAAUCCGAUCCCUGGAACCCACCAGGUUGAGGAAGGCAGGCUGUCUGAAUAAAACCUGUUGCUGGACUCACA